This 200-nucleotide unclassified non-coding RNA is filed under the name Myrothecium sp. RNAcentral's name for it is "partial internal transcribed spacer 2". Lineage: Eukaryota; Fungi; Ascomycota; Sordariomycetes; Hypocreales; Stachybotryaceae. The record is from RNAcentral.
UUAAGUUCAGCGGGUAUUCCUACCUGAUCCGAGGUCAACUUUCAGAAGUGGGGUGUUUAACGGCAUGGCCACCGCCGCGUUCCAACUGCGAGGUUGUGCUACUACGCAGAGGAGGACUACAGCGAGACCGCCACUAGAUUUCGGGGACGGCCAGGCGAGCCCGAAGGCUGCCGUCGGCCGAUCCCCAACGCCAGGCACUG